CUGUGCUAGACGGGGAGUUAGCGGUGCCCUGUAACCUGCAAACCGCUAUAGCAGGGUUGAAUUCCCACCCGAGGUUCGACCACGCCCGGUCAUCAGGCGGCAAGCGAUGAUGAAGGGCCGAGUCCUGCGCAAAGGAAGUCCGCCGAAACCCGUCAGGACCGGAAGGGAGCAGCGGUAGGCGUGUCAACCUUGUGCCGCAGAUCUGCUUGGCCGGAGUUGGCUACUGUCUGCAGAACGGGUGCAAGGCGGAUCGGAGGUGGGUGCACGG
Molecule: signal recognition particle RNA, 268 nt
Filed under: bacterium
Lineage: Bacteria
Description: signal recognition particle sRNA large type
Rfam family: Bacterial large signal recognition particle RNA
About the family: The signal recognition particle (SRP) is a universally conserved ribonucleoprotein involved in the co-translational targeting of proteins to membranes.
Source: RNAcentral